UACGUAGGGUGCAAGCGUUAUCCGGAUUUACUGGGGUUAAAGGGCGCGUAGGUGGGUCUGUAAGUCAGUGGUGAAAUCUCCGAGCUUAACUCGGAAACUGCCAUUGAUACUAUAGGUCUUGAAUUAUCUGGAGGUAAGCGGAAUAUGUCAUGUAGCGGUGAAAUGCUUAGAUAUGACAUAGAACACCAAGUGCGAAGGCAGCUUACUACGGAUUGAUUGACACUGAGGCACGAAAGCGUGGGGAUCAAACAGG
This 253-nucleotide ribosomal RNA is filed under the name uncultured bacterium. RNAcentral's name for it is "partial 16S ribosomal RNA". It matches the Rfam family "Bacterial small subunit ribosomal RNA", at positions 524 to 776 of the family's 1533-position model. The record is from RNAcentral.